This 466-nucleotide ribosomal RNA is filed under the name uncultured bacterium. RNAcentral describes it as "partial 16S ribosomal RNA". It matches the Rfam family "Bacterial small subunit ribosomal RNA", at positions 28 to 507 of the family's 1533-position model. The record is from RNAcentral.
GACGAACGCUGGCGGCGCGCCUAACACAUGCAAGUCGAACGAGCGAGCGAGAGCUUGCUUUCUCGAGCGAGUGGCGAACGGGUGAGUAACGCGUGAGGAACCUGCCUUAAAGAGGGGGACAACAGUUGGAAACGACUGCUAAUACCGCAUAAGCCCACGUCCCGCCAUCGAGCAGUGGGAAAAGGAGCGAUCCGCUUUGAGAUGGCCUCGCUUCCGAUUAGCUAGUUGGUGAGGUGACGGCCCACCAAGGCGACGGUCGGUAGCCGGACUGAGAGGUUGAACGGUCACAUUGGGACUGAGACACGGACCAGACUCGUACGCGAGGGAGCAGUGGGGAAUAUUGCAGAAUGGGGCAAGCUGUGAUGAAGCGACGCGGGGUGGAGGAAGAAGGUCUUCGGAUUGUAAUCUCCUGUUGUUGGGGAAGAUAAUGACGGUAACGAACAAGGAAGUGACGGCUAACUACGUG